Molecule: ribosomal RNA, 1983 nt
Filed under: human gut metagenome
Description: bacterial LSU rRNA
Rfam family: Bacterial large subunit ribosomal RNA
Source: RNAcentral
UUAAGUUAAUAAGGGCGCACGGUGGAUGCCUUGGCACUAGAAGCCGAUGAAGGACGUGACUAACGACGAAAUGCUUUGGGGAGCUGUAAGUGAGCAAUGAUCCAGAGAUGUCCGAAUGGGGGAACCCGGCAGGUAAUGCCUGUCACUCAUUACUGUUAAGGUAAUGUAGAGGAAGACGCAGUGAACUGAAACAUCUAAGUAGCUGCAGGAAGAGAAAGCAAAAGCGAUUGCCUUAGUAGCGGCGAGCGAAACGGCAAGAGGGCAAACCGAAGAGUUUACUCUUCGGGGUUGUAGGACUGCAACGUGGACUUAAAGAUUAUAGAAGAACUACCUGGGAAGGUAGGCCAAAGAGAGUAAUAGCCUCGUAUUCGAAAUAGUCUUUAUACCUAGCAGUAUCCUGAGUACGGCGAGACACGAGAAAUCUCGUCGGAAUCUGGGAGGACCAUCUCCCAACCCUAAAUACUCUCUAGUGACCGAUAGUGAACCAGUACCGUGAGGGAAAGGUGAAAAGCACCCCGGGAGGGGAGUGAAAUAGAACCUGAAACCGUGUGCCUACAACAAGUUCGAGCCCGUUAAUGGGUGAGAGCGUGCCUUUUGUAGAAUGAACCGGCGAGUUACGAUAUGAUGCGAGGUUAAGUUGAAGAGACGGAGCCGUAGGGAAACCGAGUCUUAAUAGGGCGUAUUAGUAUCAUGUCGUAGACCCGAAACCAUGUGACCUACCCAUGAGCAGGUUGAAGGUGAGGUAAAACUCACUGGAGGACCGAACCAGGGCACGUUGAAAAGUGCUUGGAUGACUUGUGGGUAGCGGAGAAAUUCCAAACGAACUUGGAGAUAGCUGGUUCUCUCCGAAAUAGCUUUAGGGCUAGCGUCGAUGUUAAGUCUCUUGGAGGUAGAGCACUGUUUGGGUGAGGGGUCCAUCCCGGAUUACCAAUCUCAGAUAAACUCCGAAUGCCAACGAGAUAUAAUCGGCAGUCAGACUGCGAGUGCUAAGAUCCGUAGUCGAAAGGGAAACAGCCCAGACCACCAGCUAAGGUCCCAAAAUAUAUGUUAAGUGGAAAAGGAUGUGGGGUUGCACAGACAACUAGGAUGUUAGCUUAGAAGCAGCUAUUCAUUCAAAGAGUGCGUAAUAGCUCACUAGUCGAGUGACCCUGCGCCGAAAAUGUACCGGGGCUAAAACAUAUUACCGAAGCUGUGGAUACCUUUAUAGGUAUGGUAGGAGAGCGUUCUAUGUGCGAAGAAGGUGUACCGUGAGGAGUGCUGGAGCGCAUAGAAGUGAGAAUGCCGGUAUGAGUAGCGAAAGACAGGUGAGAAUCCUGUCCACCGUAAGACUAAGGUUUCCAGGGGAAGGCUCGUCCGCCCUGGGUUAGUCGGGACCUAAGGAGAGACCGAAAGGUGUAUCCGAUGGACAACAGGUUGAUAUUCCUGUACUAGAGUAUAUAGUGAUGGAGGGACGCAGUAGGCUAACUAAACCAGACGAUUGGAAGUGUCUGGCCAAGCAGUGAGGUGUGAUAUGAGUCAAAUGCUUAUAUCUAUAACAUUGAGCUGUGAUGGGGAGCGAAGUUUAGUAGCGAAGUUAGUGAUGUCACACUGCCGAGAAAAGCUUCUAGCGUUAAUUAUACUCUACCCGUACCGCAAACCGACACAGGUAGUCGAGGCGAGUAGCCUCAGGUGAGCGAGAGAACUCUCGUUAAGGAACUCGGCAAAAUGGCCCCGUAACUUCGGGAGAAGGGGCGCUGACUUAUGGUCAGCCGCAGUGAAUAGGCCCAAGCAACUGUUUAUCAAAAACACAGCUCUCUGCUAAAUCGUAAGAUGAUGUAUAGGGGGUGACGCCUGCCCGGUGCUGGAAGGUUAAGAGGAGUGCUUAGCAAUAGCGAAGGUAUGAAUUGAAGCCCCAGUAAACGGCGGCCGUAACUAUAACGGUCCUAAGGUAGCGAAAUUCCUUGUCGGGUAAGUUCCGACCCGCACGAAAGGCGUAAUGAUUUG